AAAGUCGUAACAAGGUCUCCGUUGGUGAACCAGCGGAGGGAUCAUUACAGAGUUGCAAAACUCCCAAACCAUUGUGAACGUCACCGUAUCGUUUCUUCGGCGGGCGGCUCCCCACCCGGGGCCGCGCCUACCCCUCACGGGGUGGCAGCCCGCCGGAGGCGUCGAAACUCUCAGCAUCUUAUGGCAUCUCUGAGUAACUUACAAAAUAAGUUAAAACUUUCAACAACGGAUCUCUUGGUUCUG
Molecule: unclassified non-coding RNA, 243 nt
Filed under: Ascomycota sp.
Lineage: Eukaryota; Fungi; Ascomycota
Description: partial contains small subunit ribosomal RNA, internal transcribed spacer 1, and 5.8S ribosomal RNA
Rfam family: Eukaryotic small subunit ribosomal RNA (bases 1-47)
Source: RNAcentral